CUGAGGCUGGGGAGUCACGUCAGCGCUCUUCGCCAGGGCUCCUGGAGGAGGACGCUUCACCUGAAGGCGUCUGGCUUGCGAGGAGGUUUUGGCAGUGCCGACCAGGCAGGCAUUCGGCCCCUCCGGCCCCAGCUGCGGUCCGUUUCUGCUUUAAUUCGCUUUCAGAUUGUUGUUGUCUGGGAUUAGCCUUAUCCUGAGAUCCUGCUCCUGCGCUGCCCGUGCGCUGGGGUCCCAGCUCACACUGCCGUGCCGGGAGGCGGGGCGCCCCUCAGCCCCUGGUUUCUCUGCCUGGCCUGGCGUUGAACCGGGCCCUUCAUCAUCAUCAUCAUCAUCAUCUUUCAGUCGUUGUACAAAGAAGUUCCCAUUCUACAAAAAAGUGUAUGAGGACAAAGUGUCUGACAGCAUGGCCACCCAUCUCCCCUAACUGACUUCCUAGGUGAUUGCGUACAUUUCACAUAUUUCUCAGUGUUGUGAGAUAGUGAUGGUUCGUUACGGCCACACACACACAUUUUAACCUUCACAAGGCAGAUUGUCAUUAUCGUGGUCUGUACCGUUUGUGAAUUCUACGAGCUGUGACAAUACAAGUUAUUUUUCCACA
Long non-coding RNA from Dipodomys spectabilis (banner-tailed kangaroo rat), 598 nucleotides. RefSeq lists it as uncharacterized. The record is from RefSeq and is a predicted model, not a curated record. The transcript has 2 exons. NCBI's taxonomy places the organism in Eukaryota, Metazoa, Chordata, Mammalia, Rodentia, Heteromyidae.